This 243-nucleotide ribosomal RNA is filed under the name Triticum aestivum (bread wheat). RNAcentral describes it as "partial small subunit ribosomal RNA". The record is from RNAcentral. Lineage: Eukaryota; Viridiplantae; Streptophyta; Magnoliopsida; Poales; Poaceae.
AUGAAUUGUGGUACUUUUCUUUUUGUUAAAUACUCUCUCAUCUAUCAAGAUAUAUCUAAGCGUAAAGCGGUGGCUUCUGUUGCCAUGCUUGUAACUUGGGACAUAUGGAACGAGUAUAACGCAAGGGUCUUCAACAACAAGCACUCACUCACUUAGAUCAUUUUCUCGCAUACCCUCAAGUAGUCUGUAUUGUGGGUAGCCGCAUAGACGAAACACUUGGGUUUUAUAUUGCCAGGAAAGUAG